RNA transcript from Ipomoea nil (Japanese morning glory), 1479 nucleotides. It is a transcript of the gene named DNA repair protein rad8-like, with no coding region annotated. The transcript is spliced from 10 exons. NCBI's taxonomy places the organism in Eukaryota, Viridiplantae, Streptophyta, Magnoliopsida, Solanales, Convolvulaceae. The record is from RefSeq and is a predicted model, not a curated record.
CUCGCUGCCUCUUUGGACUCCUGGAGAGUGGAGACGCCAUUGCCGCUCACGAGGAGGAACAUCAACGCCGACGCAGCAGAUCAACCGCCAGUCCGCCACCUCCCGCUGCUGCCGAUGACUUAGAAGGUCAGACGCCACCUCUCGCUCCCUCUCCCUGCCGCCGUUGCUGACGCAGCAGAUCAACCGCCAGUCCGCCACCUCCCGCUACCGCCGAAGACAUACUUACUGGGAACUCAAGGAAUUCAACAACGUGGUGGAUAGGAUCAUAGGAGAAUAGAAGAUCUCUUAACAAUUAUGGAGCAAUGUUUACAUGAUUAUGUUUAGGAGCUAAUAGUUGUGGUGCUAAUCUGGUUGCUAAAUGGACUGUUGAUUUGAAUCAGUAUGCAUGUGAAAGCUUGAGGUUAAGCCAUCCAGAGACAAAUGAGAUAAAGCCACCUGAAACACUUGUGUGUUGCCUAAGGCCCUACCAGAAACAGGCUCUUUACUGGAUGUCAGAAUUGGAGAAGGGAACUGAGGCAGAGCAAACAACCAUAGUUUUGCAUCCAUGUUGGGCAGCAUAUCGAAUUUGUGAUGAGAGGGGUCCUGCAAUUUAUGUGAACAUUUUCUCUAGUGAAAAGAAGAUGGGGAAUGCUAUUGGCCUGGGGAAAACUAUAAUGACAAUUGCUCUACAACUGCAAUUAUAACAGCUCCUGUAUUAAAGGGGCAGGAAGUAGUGGAGGCUCAUAUAUUAGUUGAAAACUUGACCCAACAGCUUACAAGAGUUUCUGAAAGCAUAAAUGAUAGAAGCAAGAAGCUCAAACAGAUCAAAGAGGAAAAAGACGACUUGAAGGUUAUGGAAGACAAUUAUCAGGAUACCCUUCAGGAGGAGGAGAGAGAAUUGGAGCAACUCUUAAAUAAAAGGAAAACCUAUCUUGCAAAACAAAAUGAGUAUUCGAAGAAGAUUCGAGAAAAAGGUAUGCCAAGAUCAAAAAGGUUCAUGGAUAUGAGAGUCGGCCAAGGUCUCAACAACAAUUUUCUAUGUCAACACACGAGCAAUUGUUGAAUGAUGCACCACAUGAAGAUACAUUUCCAAAUCAUGAACAAACUCAGGAUAAUGAUACACCUCAAGAGCAAACUCAGGAUGAAACACCACAAGAGCAGUGCUAAUGGGUUGAAAGAUGGAAUGAACAGAGGGAGACUGGGACUUUCCCUGGGCCACUUUAACUUGAUGUGGAUUUAGACAAUGUUCAUCAUCUUGUUAUGAAAUUUGGCCUUUUGAUUUCCUUUUGAAUGUCAAUGGAUUAAUAAGCAUUCUUGUACUGGCUUCUUAAAAAGCUUUAUUGGUUUGGGAGUUUCUAAAACAAUUGGCUUCCAGUAUAUAAAGAUUCUUUGUUUUUGUUAUAAAUAUUAGUUAUAAUUGAUUUUCUUUCCAAUUAAAUGUGUACAUAGAGGUUAUUUGUGAUUGUAAUAUGAAUUUGAAUAUAAAGAUUUUUGAAUAAA